CUCAUUUAGGCGUCAAAACCUUCUUUUACUGUCUAUGGUCAAAACAAAACUGCUGUUCAGAACUCUAUGGGUGACGUCACGGACGCUACGUCCAUAUUUUUUUACAGUCUAUGGUCAUAAUCGAACACGGAGGAGAAAAGCGGCGCGGAUGCUGUCAAAUGGACAGAUGAUCACGUGUUUAUCCGGUGGAGGAAUGAUGCCAUCAAAGGCUUUGAAGCUUUGGUGGAGCAGGACCUGCAAGAAAAGCUGACGACAGUAUUUGUUAGAAAAAAAAGAGGAAAACCUGAAACAAAAUAAAAAUAUAUAUAAAGAUGUGAAUGUCCUGAUGGAGAGACACAGCAGAUCCUGGGAAUGGUUCAGUGUUAUGGACGAGAUCGUCCAUCACUCCUCCUUCCAAGUGACUCGAUCAAGGACACACUGGAGGAAACGCUGCAGAGAUCGAACCAGCAACCUUCUGCUGACCAGCUCAGUGGUUUAGACCACCACACCACAAAACUAAUGAAGCCAUGACAAGAAUUAGCAAUUGAAAAAUAUGAAAUGAAAUAUGCAAGAAACAGAAUGCUGACAUGAAUUAAUUGUAAAAUGUUUUAAUCUGCUGAUGGAGAGCACAUGAAUGUUUGCAGCAGCAGAUUGUCCCGCACAUCUUCUCCCACUCCUGCUCCAAGGUUGAGGGGUUCAGGGCUCCAUCAUCAUCAUCAUCAUCAUCAUCAUCUUCAGCAGUGAGGAACAUGAUGAUGAAGGUGUUCAUCAGCUGCUUGAUCAGAAUAAAGCUGCAGAAUUGGCACAGCUGUGUUGAGAUGACAACAGGACUGUAAAUACCUGAUUGUUAGAUCAAUACAUUUGAAUAAAGCUUUGUUUCGUGUGUUGUUGACUUGUAUAUGCAUUUAUUUGUCAUUAUUACUUUUAUUAAUUCUUUACUUAUUAAUUAUGCUAUUAUCAGUAAAUGUAUAUAUUUUAAUAAGCAAUGAAUUAAUGCAUGAAUUGACUGUAAAUGGAGAUGUAUUCACAUCAGCUGUAUUUGUCUAGUGUGUGUUCAUGCACAGCUGUCAUAUAACUAAACAUUACAUUUUGCUUGUUUUAUUAAAGAAGUAAAAUGAAAAGUAAUAUAAUUAAGUUUUGGUCAGCAUU
Megalobrama amblycephala (Wuchang bream) is the source of this 1128-nucleotide long non-coding RNA. RefSeq lists it as uncharacterized. Lineage: Eukaryota; Metazoa; Chordata; Actinopteri; Cypriniformes; Xenocyprididae. The transcript has 4 exons. The record is from RefSeq and is a predicted model, not a curated record.